This 64-nucleotide transfer RNA is filed under the name Eisenia nordenskioldi pallida. Its description in RNAcentral is "tRNA-Glu". It matches the Rfam family "tRNA". From Rfam's summary of the family: Transfer RNA (tRNA) molecules are approximately 80 nucleotides in length. Their secondary structure includes four short double-helical elements and three loops (D, anti-codon, and T loops). The record is from RNAcentral. Lineage: Eukaryota; Metazoa; Annelida; Clitellata; Crassiclitellata; Lumbricidae.
UUGUAUAUGGUGUAAUAAAACACAUUAGCUUUUCAUGCUAAAAUUAUAUUAAAUAUUAUGCACA